AGGUGAUAUAUUGAAAAAAGGUAUAUGUAAUAAAUAUUAUUUUAAGGAUUACGAAUCAAAAUUUAAAUAAUGAUAAAAAGAUCAUAACUGUAAUAAACAGUGAUCAAUCAAAAUCAUGAAAAUGAAAAAAAAUAAAAACAAGUGGAAUGAAACAUCUGAGUAACUUGUUAAAUAACCAACAGGGAUAAUAUAAGUAACGGUGAGUGAAAAUAUAAAAAUCUUAAAGUAUUGCCAAGAGGUAAGAAUAAAGUAGUUUCCAACUACUAAGAAAAAAAAUUAAAUUUUAGAUUAAAGUACCGCAAGGGAAAGUAAAGAAAUAGAAUAAUAAAGAGCAGUUAUAGUAUAACGUACCUCUUGUAUAAGUGCGACAAGAAGCAUUAAUAAUUAAUGUGGUUAAAUUCCACCAAAUCUUUUCCAUUGAUUUGACCCUAUCUAUACAUGCUGAAGGAGUAAUCAUCAGUGUGAAGCUAUAGAGACAAUGUAACAAUAAUCCCAUCUUUAAUAUAUAUUAAAGGUCGGAGUGCUAGGGUGAGUAAUUCUAUGAUGAACAAAAGUGAACAUGCCUGGAGGCUUCGUAAGAGGUGUAUCAAAUUUAACAACAGCUAGCUGUAGUAAAAAAUGAUAACUGUUAAGUCAAAUCUUUCUUAUACUGGGGUUUGAAAUGGAACAUAUUUAACACGGAGUAAAGCAUAGCAUCUAAGGAAUUUAGAUUAUAUAGUUUAUACUGUAUAAUACUCGGUAUUAAUUUAUUAAAUUAAUUCCGGGAGUAAUGUAAUUAUUAGUGAACUUGGUAAGCCCUAAAUUCUCUAAAUAUGGGCCCCCCCGAAGGGGGGGCCGAUAUUAUUUAUUUAGAGGUAACAUAUAAAGAGAAAUUGGAAGUUGUUAUAACGAAUUCAGGGUAUAAGAAUGAUUCAAAAAGCGAAUGCAGAUUAGUAAUAGAUCUGAUAGAGUUUUAUAACUUAAUCCGAGAGGAUGCAGACUUGAAUCAAUGUGAUCAUCGUAACUAUUCAGCCCCUAAAAAGGCGAUAUGAUAAUCUGAAGCUUUCGGUAGAUUAUUAUAGGAAUCUUGUCUAUUUAACCGGUUUAACCGGAAUAUUCAUCUAAGGUUCAAAAUUGUAAAUUACAAUUAAGGAAAUAAAGUAGUAUCGAUUUAUUAAUUAAUUAUUUACCUUUGGGUAAAUUUUUAAGGAAGUAAAUUGGCGAAUAAAAGAACUUUUAUAAAUAAAUAAGCUUAUUAAAAUUAUUAUAUGUUAAUAAUGAAAAAAUGUCAAAACAGUAAAUAAGACAAACUAAGUUAAAUGGUUAACUCGAUAAAAUACCAUUAAGUUAUUAGUGUUGCUAAAAAAAAAAUUUAUAUUCGAUUUGAAUGUUUAACACUAUUUCUUGGGUGAAUUAUUUGAUCAAAUAAAAAAACGAAAUAUAAUAAAUAACAAAGAUAAAAAUUUUUAAACUUAAACUUAAACAAAAAAAACAUGAUGAGAAUUUUAAUGGAAUCCAGAUUAUAUGCUGGCAAAUAUAUAUUAACAUUCUUUAGAGGAUAUAGAAAUUAUUUAUUAGGAAUGAUGUGAUAUAAAGGAUUAUUUAUAAAUAAGAAUUUUAUAUUUGCAACAGGUGUAAGAUUUAAAAGUAUAAAUAAAAAAUCGAAAGAUUCCCGGCUUAGUCGGGUUAAUUCAAAUAUUUGACAUAUGAUAAAUUGAGAGAAAGCUGAAAAAAAAGUAAAAGAUCUACAAGAGAAAAUAGUUAUUGCUACAUUAAAUAAUGAUAUAAAAGAAGUGUAUAAAUUACAAUGAAUUUUAUUACAAAGUUUUGAAGCUAAAAGUUUGGCAAUAAGAAAAGUUGUAACUAAUAAAAAUGGGAAAACAGCCGGAAUAGAUGGUAUAAUAUGAAAUAAUCCAAAAGAUUAUUCAUUAGCUAUCUUAGAAUUAUCCGCUAUUUUGAAAAAUCCUCAUAAUUAUAAAUCAAAACCCUUAAAAAGAAUAAAUAUUCUAAAAGAUAAUUAUUCAAAGGAAUUAAGGUCUAUAAUUAUUCCUACAAUGAUAGAUAGAGCUGUUCAAACUAUAUACUAUUUAGCUAUAGAUCCUGCAGUAGAAACUAAAUCUGAUCCUCAUUCAUAUGGGCAUAGAAAAAAUAGAUCUACUCAUGAUGCCAUUACUUCAAUAAGAGGUUUAACUGAUAAAAGUUAUCAUCCUAGAUGAAUUUUAAAAGUUGAGAUAUCUAAAUGUUUUGAUAAAUUAGAUCAUAAUUUUUUAUUAAAGCAUACCCCGAUAUGUCAUAAAUCUGUUUUAAAAGAAUGACUUAAAACUGGAGUAAUGGAAGAAUUAAAUUACAUUGAAAGAGUGGAUAAUAUACCCCAAGGAGGUAUUAUAUCUCCCUUGCUUUGUAAUAUAGCAUUUAAUGGUUUAGAGAAAUUCAUUAAAGAUGCUAAUCCCCCUAAUAAAAAAAGAAUAAAAGCAAAAGUAUAUGUUAUAAGAUAUAUUGAUAAUAUAAUUAUAACAGGUAUAACUAAAGCAUUAGUAAUUCGUAAUAAAGAAUUAUUAAUUCAAUUUUUAAAGAUUAGGGGUUUAGAACUUAAUGAAAAAAAUACUCUAAUUUCUCAUAUAAAAAAAGGAUUUGAUUUUUUAGGAUUUAAUAUUCGAAGAAUGAAAUGAAAUUUUAAACUUAAUAAUUCUAGUAAACAAGAUACUGUAUUAAUUAUUAAACCUUCGAAAGAAGCGAUAAGUAUUUUGAAAAAUACUAUUAAAAAUAUAAUAACUAUGAAUAAACCUUUAAUCACUAUAAUUAGGACAUUAAAUCCUAUUUUAAGUAAAUGAGGGGUAAAUAAGAGAAUAUCUUAUCAUUCACAGGAAACUUUUAUUAGUAUUGAACAUUAUAUUUAUAUAAAAAUGAAAAAAUGAGUAUAUUGAAAAGGAGGAUCAUUAAGAAAAAAAAUGAGAAAUAGAAAUUACUUGCUGACUACUGAAACAAGAAAAUGAAAUUGAGGUAUUUCUUUAAAGGAUAAACUUAUUAAUAUAAGUGAAAUACCUAUCAUAUUAUUAAGACCUUUAAAACUUGACAGAAAUCCAUAUUUGUCUGAAAAUAUUGAAUAUUUUAAUAUUAGAAAGUCACAUAUUGAAAUGGAUAAUUUCAGAGCAGCCAUUUAUAAAAAGUACAAACAUACAUGUCCUAUAUGUAAAAGUACUCUAUAUAAUGGGGAACUAGUGGAAUUGCAUCACAUCAUUCCACAAAAAGCCCAAGGAAAAUAUAGUUUAACCAAUAUACUUCCACUUCAUCAAGUUUGUCAUAAACAGGUUACCCAUGGUAACCUGUCUUUAGAAAGAUUUAAGAUAGCUUUACCAAAAAAGGCUAUCAAGAGUCGGAAUAAAAAACAAACUUAAUUUAGGGAUCCUAGGAUCUCUAAUCCCGGCAAUAGGCCGGGUAUUCGUUAAAAAUCGGUAAAAUAUACUGAAGUAUAAUAACGAAUAUUAUAUCAUAAAUUAUUGGCUAAGAAAAAGUAAGGAACGAUUCUCCAAAACGAGGGAUAGAAAUUACAUUCGAGUAUGGUUGCAUGAGCCGUAUGCGAUGAAAGUCGCACGUACGGUUCUUAUGGGGGGAAAGCCUGAGAGGGCCUACCUAUCCUAAUUGGGCCAGUGAGUUAUAUAAUUUAGUGAAAAAAAAAUAAAUUUUUAUAUAUAAAUAGAAAAAAAUUAAAUUAUAUAGGCCCGAAAGCAAACGAUCUACACAUGUCCAAGUGUAUAUAUAAUCAAUAAUAGGUUUUAUAUAUGACUCAAUAGGUAAUUGUAGCAAUAAUUUCUAAAGAGGUGUGUGUAGCUGUGACAGACAAAUCUGGUUUGCAGAUAGCUGGUUUUCUGCGAAAUAUAUUUUAGUAUAGCCUUUAUACAUAUUUAAACUGGUACAGCACUUAAAUAACUUUGGGGAAUUAGAAUAUAAUUUUAUCAAAAUAUUUAAACCUCGAAAUCAGUUAAUAAUAAUAUAAGGAGUCAGACUUAUUGCGAUAAGGUAGUAGGUCGAGAAGGAAACAACCUAGACUAUUAAAUGAAUGUCCCAAAUAUUAAUUAAGUGAACAAAAUCUAUCCUACUUUUAUAAAAAAAAUAUUAUAUUAUAUCUUACUCAUUAAGGGAGAGAUAUUUAUAAAAUUAUUUUUUUUUUAUAAUAUAUGAGGUAUUAAAUUAUAGACAAUUAGUAAGUGGGUUUGACAAUAAUCAACUUUUAAUGAACAUGUAACAAUGCACUAAUUUUAUAUAUAUAUAAAUAAAUAUAUUUAUUAAUAAUAGAGAAAAUAUAUCGGGUCUAAAUUAAUAACAGUAUUAUAGAUAUAAUGAAAAAGAUGAUCAUGAUAUGGUAGCAGAAUAUAUAAUGAAAAAUUAUAAAGAGAUUGCUGGCUUGAGUAACGAUAGAUAAUAUAAGAUUAUCCCCUUAUUCAUAAGGUUUUACUAUAAACGAACGGUCCCUAAGAUAAUUAUAGAAAUAUAAAAUUGAUGGGUAAAAGAACAAGAAAAAAGAAAUGAACCGUACUGUAGACCGACACAGGUAUGAUAAAAAGGGAAUGGGAUAACUACUUUGAAUGAACUCGGCAAAAUAAAUCGUGCGACUGUUUACCAAAAACAUAGCUUAUUGCAUACUAGUAAUAGUAAGUAUAAUAAGUGAUAUCUGCCCGGUGUUAGUUUAAUAAAUAUUAUUAUUUAAUUGAUAAUUUUAUAAAAAACUGAUAAACGGCGGUCUUAUUGUGAGGAUCCGAAGGUAGCGAAAUUCAUUGACGUAUAAUUGACGUCCUGCAUGAAUGAAUAUACGAUGCGAUAACUGUAUCCAAAGUAGACUCAGUGAAAUAGCAAUUGCGGUGAAAUUUGUACUAUAAUAUAUUUAUAUUAUAAGCCGGGUUGGUGUAAAUCCAACUUUAUAGUAUUAAUUUUUAAUGUUAAUAACCUUUAAUCAUUCAAUUUUUUACUUAUAAUUACAAAAACAAAGAUAAGAACUAAUACAAUGAUAAAAUUUUAUAAAUCAUUUAUAGGAUUAUCUUAUGGAGAAUAUAACUUUUCAAUAAUAUCUAUUAAUAAAUUAUUUAUAAUUUUAUAUUCCAAUUUAUAAUUACAUUACAUGUAGAUCAUAAAGAAGUAUUAAAUAUUAUUAAAAAUAAUCUUAAUUUAGGUAUUAUUUCUUUUGAUAUGACAAAAGUAGAUAUGAGUGUUCUUUUAUUAUUAGAAAUAAAAUAAGAAAUAAUAAUAUUUUUAAAUAUAUUCAAUAUUUAUAAAUUAAAUUCUACUAAUUAUUUAAAUUGAAAUUAAUCUAAUCUAAUCUAAUCUUUUUUUAUUUAUCAAAAUAAAACAGAAUUAAAUUAAGAUAUUAUUAAUAAAAUUUUAUUAAAAAAAAGUAAAAUAAAUAAUAAUAAAAUUGAAUUUAUAAGCAUAUUCAAAUAAAAAUUGAGAUCAUCAUGUAGAUAUUUUUAAAUAUUGAUUAUUAGGUUUAAUAGAGGGUGAAGGUUCUUUUAAUUUUUGAAGAGAAGAUUUAAGACCUCAUUUUACUUUAGUUUUAACUGAAGUUCAAUAUUAAAAAUAAAAAAAAAAUAAAAUAAUAUAAAAGAUUUAAAUUUUGAUGUAUAUUCUUUAUUUCAAUUAAAUAAUAAUUCAAAUAUUUGUAUUAAUUAUAAUAAAGCUAGAUUUAAUUAUAAAUCAAGUUAUACACUUUUAAUAACAAAUAAACAUAUUUUAAAUAAUUAUUUUUUAUUUUAUAUAGAAUCUAAAAAAAUUUAUUUAUAUCAAAAAAAUAUAAUGAUUUAAAUAAGUUAGUUAUUAUAACAAAAGGAAUAUAUAAUGGUUUACAUAUAAAUAAAGAAUAUAAAAAUAAAAUAUAAAAAAUAAGUUAUAGAAUGAAUAAAUAUAACUUAUCUAAUAGUAAAAUAUAAGGAUCUAAAGAUUAAUUUAUAAAUAAAUUAAGGUGUAAUAGAUAAUAAUGUAAUAGAAUUAGAAUAAUUGUUAGAUAAUAUAAAAAAUAAACCAUUAUUAAAAUGAUGGUAGAGUAAUUAAUUUAAUAAGGAAUAAAAUAAUAGAUAAAAUCAAUCUUGUAUUAAUAAAAUUAUAAAUAUAAAUAAUAAUGAUAAUCAUUAAUUAUGAAAUAAAAAGAUUAAUAAAAUUAUUUAGAUAUAGAUGCUAAAAGAUUAAGUAGAUUAUAAAAUAAAGAAUAAACAUGGAAUGAUAAAUAACUAAUAAUAGGAAAUUAUUUUAUAAAAAGAAUAAAAGUUUUUGAAAAAUGGAGAUACUUAAAGAGUAAAUAUUAAAAAUUAAAUGUCUUAAAUGACAGAUGAGUAUGAAUCUUUAUUAAUAUAAAGUGGUAAGAAUACAAUCGAAUAAUACUUAUCCCUCAUAUAGAGGGAAAAUUACAUAUAGGCAAUAUGUAGUUAAAUCGCUAUAAAUAAAAAGGUGAAAACGGUCAAUGACAUCUUAGUUAAAGACCGUCGGCAGUUGUAUAUGUCGCUACAGACUGGUUCACCGAGGUUAGACUGAAAUGUCUGUCUAAAUGUACAGUCGAAUUCUGUAAUAUAUAAAAUAUCUUAAUGAUAUAUAAAUUAUAUAUAUAAAGGUGAAAGAUUUAUCUAUAAUUUAGAUAUAACUUAUUAGUACAUAAGUAAGAAACCUUUGUAGGUCAAACCUACUUAAGUUAAUCAGAAUUGGAAGAUGCCGUAUAUCCGUAGGUUGACAAAAAGACCCUAUGCAGCUUUACUAUAUCUUUAUUUUGAUUUUUAAUCAUAAUUUUAUUAUGAUUAGCCUUUUUUCAUUUAUUUCAGUAGAUUAGGUUAUAUUUAUAUUUUAAAUCAAAUGAGAUACCUAUAUAUUUGAAAAAAGAAUCUAAUUAAUAUAGUCAUAAUUCUAUAAUAUAGAAUGUUAGUAAUACUAAUUGACUUAAGUUUAACUUAUUUAAGAAAGAGUAAAGAGGUUAGUUUCGAUGGGGCGUCGACAUCAGCGAAAGCAUCUGAUGUGUCUAAUAACAAUGAUCUUGAUUAAAAAUUAAUAAUCAAGACUUAAUGUUUAAUUAAAUUUAUUAUUUAAUAGUAAAUAACGUACAAUAAUUCUAUAUGGUAAAUAGAAUAUAAUAUUAUAAGUAAGGAUAACAACAUAAUUGUGCGAUGAUAAUAACACUAACAAGUGGAAUUAGUACUUACGUAGAGUGUAGUGAACAGGCAUAAACAAAUGGUAUGGAUGUCGAUAACGGAUUAACCGCGUGAGAGUUGAUAUCGUCAGCGGUGUUUGCCACCUCGAUGUCGUCUAGACUCGUCCUCCUGGUCGCAGCAACUAGGUAGGGUAGGACUGUUCGUCCUCUAAGGAGUUACUUGAGAUGGGUUAAUUACGACGUGAGUCAGUAAUGAUUUUAUCAUCUAUGGAUUUUUUACUUAUCUGUUGCCUUAAGUGUACGCAAGGAUAAUAAGGUACAUUUCUAUGGUUAAUAAAAUAUUUUAGCUAAGAAUGUUGUGUUUACAUAUUGAAUGCAUAUCAAAUAUAAAAUCCUUCAGAUAAGUUUUAUACAUUAUAGACUAUAAUGUAUUAGUAAAUUUGUAAUAUUGCAAAUAUACUAAUUAAUAAACUCAUAUUAAAUAAAAAUGAGUAUUUAAACAUAUACCU
RNAcentral lists this ribosomal RNA (7608 nucleotides) under Metschnikowia sp. 13-106.1. The record is from RNAcentral. Lineage: Eukaryota; Fungi; Ascomycota; Pichiomycetes; Serinales; Metschnikowiaceae.